CCUACGGGAGGCUGCAGUGGGGGAUAUUGCACAAUGGGGGGAACCCUGAUGCAGCGACGCCGCGUGGGUGAAGGAGGGCUUCGGCGCGUAAAGCCCUAUCGGCAGGGAAGAAGAUGACGGUACCUGGCCAAGAAGCCCCGGCUAACUACGUGCCAGCAGCCGCGGGAAUACGUAGGGGGCAAGCGUUAUCCGGAUUUACUGGGUGUAACGGGGGCGCAGACGGCAAUGCAAGCCAGGAGUGAAAGCCCCGGGCCCAACCCCGGGACUGCGCUUGGAACUGCAUGGCUGGAGUACAGGAGGGGCAGGCGGAAUUCCUAGUGUAGCGGUGAAAUGCGGAGAGAUUAGGAGGAACACCGGUGGCGAAGGCGGCCUGCUGGACUGUGACUGACGUUGAGGCCCGAAAGCGUGGGGAGCAAACAGGAUUAGAUACCCCUGUAGUC
Molecule: ribosomal RNA, 440 nt
Filed under: uncultured bacterium
Lineage: Bacteria
Description: partial 16S ribosomal RNA
Rfam family: Bacterial small subunit ribosomal RNA
Source: RNAcentral